RNAcentral lists this small RNA (283 nucleotides) under Vigna angularis var. angularis. RNAcentral's name for it is "Non-protein coding transcript". The record is from RNAcentral. Lineage: Eukaryota; Viridiplantae; Streptophyta; Magnoliopsida; Fabales; Fabaceae.
GCCGAGCUCAGAGCGAGUGUGUUCGAGGCCAUCGAAGAGGAAGAUCGCGUGAUUGAGAAGGACCAAGGUCUACCUCCUGCAUUGCUUGGUAGCUGCAACGAUCGAGCUAAACAGCUUCACGCUUCUCCUCCAGGUAGGCUCCUUACGGCCAUGAUAUGUGAGUACCUUUACUGGGCGUAGCUCAAUCACACACUAAAAGUGUACCUUCCGGAAUGAAAAAAGACUUUUGGAAGACGGAGCUUAAGGAGUUUAGUACCAAAAAUGGUUAUGAUCUCAACAAAAC